AUAAGGCCCUGGUGGAUGCUCCCUGGAUGUGGACUGCAACAAACGGUUUGCUUCAACCUAAGCUGCCAAAGGGUCCUCGGCUGGUAAAUACCGCACUGGAUGUCACGUGCAGUGGCAUGUGCCUCUCCAUGAGCAGAAAGGAGUUAACGGUGGCUUCAGUCUGAGAACUGAAUGUGAAUGCAGGGAGUGAUGUACACACACACAAGUGGACCCACUGCAGAGACCAUUGGAUUUUAUUCCUUACAUCACAAUCCUCGGAAACCACAAAUGUCUUUGCAUUAUGGCCUCAUAUGAAGUCAGUCACUUUUGCAUGUCAAGAAUAAAAAGGAAACGUAUAAACAAAAUGGGAAGCAUGAAUAACUUUAGGAGUGUUAAGAAGAUGUCACUGAAUUUGAACAGUAGCAGAGCUGAGCCCCAAACAGAGAAAUAUGCAGUCUUUCCCAAGACAUGUUGAGACAUCCCCCUGCAGCUGUGAUGGGCUAUCAGCACAACAUCUCCACCCUUUCACCAGAGGCAACCUCUUAGAGGCAACUUUGUCUUCAUACUUCAGUUGUAUAUCAUCUAUUCUCAACUAGUGUCAAAAGACCCAGGAGCUUUCUGCCUGUCUGCUGGGAACAUCGAUCCACUCACCAUAACUAUGUACGAGAUGUGAAGUCUUUCCUUCCCUUGCACUCUCUCUCU
Molecule: long non-coding RNA, 681 nt
Organism: Aquila chrysaetos chrysaetos
Lineage: Eukaryota; Metazoa; Chordata; Aves; Accipitriformes; Accipitridae
Exons: 4
Source: RefSeq, a predicted model, not a curated record